UAUUGCAUUUGUAAUCCCAAACUGAAUAGGUUCUCUCUACCUCUUCUGAUUAGCUUGGGUAACCAUGAUAUGCUGCUAGGUGUCACUCAUGGUUUGUGGAAGCCCUAAACGUGUGUAAUCACUAAAGGGAGAAUUGAAAGUAAGUUUCAAAUUCACAAUCGAUGUAAAAUGGUUUUAAUCGCCCACUGCCUCGCUAAAAGGAACCUAAUGGAUCG
This 215-nucleotide long non-coding RNA is filed under the name Malus domestica (apple). RNAcentral's name for it is "long non-coding RNA (MDOM_LNC019020)". The record is from RNAcentral. Lineage: Eukaryota; Viridiplantae; Streptophyta; Magnoliopsida; Rosales; Rosaceae.